Molecule: ribosomal RNA, 253 nt
Filed under: uncultured bacterium
Lineage: Bacteria
Description: partial 16S ribosomal RNA
Rfam family: Bacterial small subunit ribosomal RNA
Source: RNAcentral
UACGUAGGUGGCAAGCGUUGUCCGGAUUUAUUGGGUUUAAAGGGUGCGUAGGCGGCCUUGUAAGUCAGUGCUGAAAUAUCCCGGCUUAACCGGGAGGGUGGCAUUGAUACUGCAGGGCUUGAGUAAAGUUGAGGUUGGCGGAAUUGACGGUGUAGCGGUGAAAUGCGUAGAGAUCAGGAGGAACACCCGUGGCGAAGGCGGCUCUCUGGGCCGACCCUGACGCUGAGGCGCGAAAGCGUGGGGAGCGAACGGG